RNAcentral lists this ribosomal RNA (1033 nucleotides) under Brevundimonas sp. LPMIX5. Its description in RNAcentral is "bacterial LSU rRNA". It matches the Rfam family "Bacterial large subunit ribosomal RNA", at positions 1 to 1038 of the family's 2925-position model. The record is from RNAcentral. Lineage: Bacteria; Pseudomonadati; Pseudomonadota; Alphaproteobacteria; Caulobacterales; Caulobacteraceae.
UAAGGUUAAGUUAAUAAGGGCGCACGGUGGAUGCCUUGGCACUAGGAGCCGACGAAGGACGUGACAAACGACGAUAUGCCUUGGGUAGCUGUAAGUAAGCGAUGAUCCAGGGAUUUCCGAAUGGGGGAACCCAACAGGUAAUACCUGUUACCUACAUCUGUUAAGGAUGUGAGGAGGAAGACGCAGUGAACUGAAACAUCUAAGUAGCUGCAGGAAUAGAAAGCAAAAGCGAUUGCCUUAGUAGCGGCGAGCGAAACGGCAGAAGGGCAAACCGAAGAGUUUACUCUUCGGGGUUGUAGGACUGCAAUGUGGACUCAAAGAUUAUAGAAGAAUGAUUUGGGAAGAUCAGCCAAAGAGAGUAAUAGCCUCGUAUUUAAAAUAGUCUUUGUACCUAGCAGUAUCCUGAGUACGGCGGGACACGUGAAAUCCCGUCGGAAUCUGGGAGGACCAUCUCCCAACCCUAAAUACUCCCUAGUGACCGAUAGUGAACCAGUACCGUGAGGGAAAGGUGAAAAGCACCCCGGGAGGGGAGUGAAAUAGAACCUGAAACCGUGUGCCUACAACAAGUUCGAGCCCGUUAAUGGGUGAGAGCGUGCCUUUUGUAGAAUGAACCGGCGAGUUACGUUAUGAUGCGAGGUUAAGUUGAAGAGACGGAGCCGUAGGGAAACCGAGUCUGAAUAGGGCGCCUUAGUAUCAUGACGUAGACCCGAAACCAUGUGACCUACCCAUGAGCAGGUUGAAGGUGCGGUAAGACGCACUGGAGGACCGAACCAGGGCACGUUGAAAAGUGCUUGGAUGACUUGUGGGUAGCGGAGAAAUUCCAAACGAACUUGGAGAUAGCUGGUUCUCUCCGAAAUAGCUUUAGGGCUAGCGUCGACAUUAGAGAUUCUUGGAGGUAGAGCACUGUUUGGGUGAGGGGUCCAUCCCGGAUUACCAAUCUCAGAUAAACUCCGAAUGCCAAUGAAUUAUGGUCGGCAGUCAGACUGCGAGUGCUAAGAUCCGUAGUCGAAAGGGAAACAGCCCAGACCACCAG